This is a non-coding RNA of Triticum aestivum (bread wheat), 135 nucleotides long. The record is from Rfam. Lineage: Eukaryota; Viridiplantae; Streptophyta; Magnoliopsida; Poales; Poaceae.
GUUGUACUCCCUCUGUCCCAAAAUUCUUGUCUUAAAUUUGUCUAGACACAGAUGUAUCUAACACUAAAACGUAACUAGAUACAUCCGUAUUUAGACAAAUGUAAAACGAGAAUUUUGGGACAGAGGGAGUAUAUC